GUCACUCCGCUGCACAUGACUGAAAGAACUUCCGGCAGUCAGGCUUGAAGGGACCCUCUCUUACUGGGAAUCAGCAGAACCAGCUAUACACAACCGUAAUACAGGUGGGUAGUACUCCAAGCGAGUGCCAAGUUUUCUUGUCUUUUAUAUCUUUUUUACCAAUGGGAUGGAUAGUCUGUACUUUUCCACCAAGUUUCCUUAUCAGUGCAGCCCAGUAAAGACCUUGCAAAAGUGUUGGAUGGGACCGGCAGCUGGCCUGGCUGUUCAGGACCACCAACAAUGCCAUGCAAGGUCUGUGCGGUUAAUUAUCUCUUAUCUAAAAGCUAGUUAUGUACUAAUAAUUAUUUUGUGAUGGUCAUUCUGAUGUUGUGUUUUGUGGUUUUAAUAAAAAUUUUAGCGCUGUGUGUUAAUAGCUGUGGCAUCCAGGCC
Non-coding RNA from Pelobates cultripes (western spadefoot toad), 429 nucleotides. The record is from the annotation of a GenBank genome assembly. NCBI's taxonomy places the organism in Eukaryota, Metazoa, Chordata, Amphibia, Anura, Pelobatidae.